AUCGCAGUUCCGACGGCAGCCGCCGUUUCGCGACCCACGGCGGACUUGCAUAAACACUUUCUAGUUGGAAUCUCACCCUGUGAGGUGGGCAAGGUAGUGAUAUUCCUGUUUGACGCCGACAGAAAUAAGAGAGAUUGACUCUCAGAACCAUGUGGCGGGAUUUUAAAGGAGGAUCUUAACAGUGGCUCGGACAGACCCGUGUUUUCUGCUCCUAGCAUUAACUACGUCGUUAAACCCUUCUGAAUUUAUUUCGUCUGUGAAAUGGGGAAAAGAUAGCCACCUUGCAUAACUGGUGAAGAAUUCGUAAACUGACAGCAGAAUCUAGUAAGAGGACUGGCCCGUGGUCGGCUCUUAAUGGUGUCACAGAAUAAAGAAAAAGACUGGGAGAGAGAUGGGAGCUGAUAGACCAGAGGAGACCAAAGACUGAAACUGAAGACUAAACCAUGGAAAUUGGGAACAAGCACUUACUCGCUUAGAGGGUGAAAAAAGUGAAUUUGCCUACAGGGCCAAUUUGGAAGCACCUCUCCCUGGAAGCCAGUCAAUGAAGAGCCAUUGGAGGAUUUUAAAUAAGGAACCGAAAAAUGGAGUCUGAAAAUAGAGGCGCAGAGACCGGUUCUUCCCCAAACCAUCAUGGACCAGUUGGACUCUGAGAAGAAAAGUUUCUGAUCUUUAGUUCAUUCUUCCAACUCUCUAGAAAGCAGGAAAACUGAGAAUGAAAAAUUCUAAAUUACUCAGGACUCAUGGGUUGCCAAUAGAAGAAAUACAUCUUAAACUAGCUUAAGCCUGAAAGGGAAAUGUAUUUGUUCAUGUAACUGAACCAUAACGAAGGAUGGUGGACUGAGGGACCUGAAAACACCCUCAGGACUCCCUCCCUCUCCUUUGUGCUCCUGUCUGAUGCCGUCUUCCCAGACCUGCUCACUCUCCAUAAGGUGGGGAUGUGGCCAUCAGCAACGUGUACUUCCCCGAAGCUUGUGACCUGAGUAGAUAGGCAUCUCCCAACCCACAAGGAUUGAAAAGUUCCUCUAGGAAUUAUGUGGAUUGGCCCAUUCACUAUGACAUGUUCCCCCUAAGCAGCUAAAGGAACUGGGUCUGUUACCAGAAGAGGUGGGAGAGGGGUGCUAGGCAGAUUGAACAACAGCCACUACAACAUCUGAGGAGGAGACCUCCGUGAAGGCCACCAAGUCUGCUAGCAGAUAUUUCCUCCCUCGGAUCUCUCUCCCUGUCCUCACAGUCUCAUAAGUGAGGAUUAAAUACUACAUGUGGCCUAGGAGAUCUUAGACCCUCCACACGAAGAUAUAGUAACAAUCAACAUCCUAGUGUUCUGGCAGAGAAAAAAUCAGAAAGAAUCGUUUGCCUGAUUUUUCCAUCAAUACCAAUAAUUAAUUAGAGAUGAAAUUUGUGAUGGACUCAGAGAAUUAGAGAAGAUCUAAGGGAAUCUAGAUGAUUUCCUACCCCUAACCAGAGCCUCACAAAAAAGGGUGAAGAUCUAUGGCCGUCUUGCGUUUGGUGUGAGGCUGGACAAGGAAGUUCCUAAGGUCCUUUAGACUCUGUGAGAUCAUGAGUCCGUAAAACCCUUCCAACUUGAAAUUAGUUGAUUCCUUCCUUAAAUUUUCUGGGACAUUCCCCCACUCCCUCCACUCUUAUUAGCUGAUUUUACUGACCAAUAGGCCUUGAAGUUGGGCGUUCCAUCUAGAUGUCUCACAUCAACUCACCUUUUGCAAAUUAAGCCCAUACCCUUAAAGAGGGGAAUUCUCAAGCCAUUAGAAACUAGAGAGUCAGCUGGGCAUGGUGGCUCACGCCUGUAAUCCCAGAACUUUGGGAGGCCAAGGUGGGUGGAUCACUUGAGGUCAGGAGUUCGAGUCCAGCCUGACCAACAUGGCGAAACCCCGUCUCUACUAAAAAUACAAAAAUUAGCCAGGGGUGAUGGCAUGCACCUGUAAUCCCAGCUACUCAGGAGGCUGAGGCAGGAGAAUUGCUUGAACCUGGGAGGCGGAGGUUGCAGUGAGCCAAGUUUGCACCACAGCACUCCAGCCUGGGCAACAGAGUGAGACUCAGUUUCAAAAAACAAAAGAACAAACAAACAAAAACUAGAGGGUCUCCUCUUAGUUCUUAAACCCUCUUAGUCAACAUUUGUGAGCCUCUUUUCUGUAUGUUUUGGCAUCUUUAUUCCUUUCCUUCGUGUCUUGACCAAAUUCACCAGAUCAUGACUCAGAACAAAAUCCUGAGGUUGAAUAUAGAGGUCUAGAACAUCUUCAAAUUAACUGUUUCUCCUCAUAGAGAAUUAAAGAAAUUGAGAAAGCAA
Molecule: long non-coding RNA, 2302 nt
Filed under: Homo sapiens (human)
Lineage: Eukaryota; Metazoa; Chordata; Mammalia; Primates; Hominidae
Description: SMIM2 antisense RNA 1
Source: RNAcentral